GCAUACUGUCUUUUCUUGUCCUCGAUUGCCAACGCUGCUAAGGCUUUAUCAGGAGGUAAGUCUUGAUAGCUUCUCAGAGUAUCAAGAAUUGGUUUUGUUUUCUUCUCCAAGUCUUUCUUAUGCUCUGCCAUCUCGACCAAUACCCCGUGACUUAUCUCUGGGGUGUAACCAACACGAUUGAGCACAGCCUUAUAAUAACCAUACUCCUGCAAAUACUGCCUCUCU
This 225-nucleotide unclassified non-coding RNA is filed under the name Hevea brasiliensis (rubber tree). The record is from RNAcentral. Lineage: Eukaryota; Viridiplantae; Streptophyta; Magnoliopsida; Malpighiales; Euphorbiaceae.